GACGAACGCUGGCGGCGUGCUUAACAUAUGCAAGUCGAACGAGACGAUUGAAAGCUUGCUUUUGAAAGUCGAGUGGCAAACGGGUGAGUAACGCGUAGACAACCUGCCUUUGAGAUGGGGACAACAGUUCGAAAGGACUGCUAAUACCGAAUGUUGUAUAUUUUCCACAUGGAAGAUAUAUUAAAGAUGGCCUCUAUUUAUAAGCUAUCGCUCAAAGAUGGGUCUGGGUCUGAUUAGCUGGUUGGUGGGGUAACGGCCUACCAAGGCGACGAUCAGUAGCCGGUCUGAGAGGAUGAACGGCCACAUUGGGACUGAGACACGGCCCAGACUCCUACGGGAGGCAGCAGUGGGGAAUCUUCCACAAUGGACGAAAGUCUGAUGGAGCAACGCCGCGUGAGUGAAGAAGGGUUUCGGCUCGUAAAGCUCUGUUGUCGGGGACGAAUGUGCGGUAUUUGAAUAAAGUACUGUAAUGACGGUACCUGACGAGGAAGCCACGGCUAACUACGUGCCAGCCGCCGCAGUAA
This 524-nucleotide ribosomal RNA is filed under the name uncultured bacterium. Its description in RNAcentral is "partial 16S ribosomal RNA". It matches the Rfam family "Bacterial small subunit ribosomal RNA", at positions 28 to 523 of the family's 1533-position model. The record is from RNAcentral.